Molecule: ribosomal RNA, 2087 nt
Filed under: Staphylococcus aureus
Lineage: Bacteria; Bacillati; Bacillota; Bacilli; Caryophanales; Staphylococcaceae
Description: bacterial LSU rRNA
Rfam family: Bacterial large subunit ribosomal RNA
Source: RNAcentral
CCGGAGGAAGAGAAAGAAAAUUCGAUUCCCUUAGUAGCGGCGAGCGAAACGGGAAGAGCCCAAACCAACAAGCUUGCUUGUUGGGGUUGUAGGACACUCUAUACGGAGUUACAAAGGACGACAUUAGACGAAUCAUCUGGAAAGAUGAAUCAAAGAAGGUAAUAAUCCUGUAGUCGAAAAUGUUGUCUCUCUUGAGUGGAUCCUGAGUACGACGGAGCACGUGAAAUUCCGUCGGAAUCUGGGAGGACCAUCUCCUAAGGCUAAAUACUCUCUAGUGACCGAUAGUGAACCAGUACCGUGAGGGAAAGGUGAAAAGCACCCCGGAAGGGGAGUGAAAUAGAACCUGAAACCGUGUGCUUACAAGUAGUCAGAGCCCGUUAAUGGGUGAUGGCGUGCCUUUUGUAGAAUGAACCGGCGAGUUACGAUUUGAUGCAAGGUUAAGCAGUAAAUGUGGAGCCGUAGCGAAAGCGAGUCUGAAUAGGGCGUUUAGUAUUUGGUCGUAGACCCGAAACCAGGUGAUCUACCCUUGGUCAGGUUGAAGUUCAGGUAACACUGAAUGGAGGACCGAACCGACUUACGUUGAAAAGUGAGCGGAUGAACUGAGGGUAGCGGAGAAAUUCCAAUCGAACCUGGAGAUAGCUGGUUCUCUCCGAAAUAGCUUUAGGGCUAGCCUCAAGUGAUGAUUAUUGGAGGUAGAGCACUGUUUGGACGAGGGGCCCCUCUCGGGUUACCGAAUUCAGACAAACUCCGAAUGCCAAUUAAUUUAACUUGGGAGUCAGAACAUGGGUGAUAAGGUCCGUGUUCGAAAGGGAAACAGCCCAGACCACCAGCUAAGGUCCCAAAAUAUAUGUUAAGUGGAAAAGGAUGUGGCGUUGCCCAGACAACUAGGAUGUUGGCUUAGAAGCAGCCAUCAUUUAAAGAGUGCGUAAUAGCUCACUAGUCGAGUGACACUGCGCCGAAAAUGUACCGGGGCUAAACAUAUUACCGAAGCUGUGGAUUGUCCUUUGGACAAUGGUAGGAGAGCGUUCUAAGGGCGUUGAAGCAUGAUCGUAAGGACAUGUGGAGCGCUUAGAAGUGAGAAUGCCGGUGUGAGUAGCGAAAGACGGGUGAGAAUCCCGUCCACCGAUUGACUAAGGUUUCCAGAGGAAGGCUCGUCCGCUCUGGGUUAGUCGGGUCCUAAGCUGAGGCCGACAGGCGUAGGCGAUGGAUAACAGGUUGAUAUUCCUGUACCACCUAUAAUCGUUUUAAUCGAUGGGGGGACGCAGUAGGAUAGGCGAAGCGUGCGAUUGGAUUGCACGUCUAAGCAGUAAGGCUGAGUAUUAGGCAAAUCCGGUACUCGUUAAGGCUGAGCUGUGAUGGGGAGAAGACAUUGUGUCUUCGAGUCGUUGAUUUCACACUGCCGAGAAAAGCCUCUAGAUAGAAAAUAGGUGCCCGUACCGCAAACCGACACAGGUAGUCAAGAUGAGAAUUCUAAGGUGAGCGAGCGAACUCUCGUUAAGGAACUCGGCAAAAUGACCCCGUAACUUCGGGAGAAGGGGUGCUCUUUAGGGUUAACGCCCAGAAGAGCCGCAGUGAAUAGGCCCAAGCGACUGUUUAUCAAAAACACAGGUCUCUGCUAAACCGUAAGGUGAUGUAUAGGGGCUGACGCCUGCCCGGUGCUGGAAGGUUAAGAGGAGUGGUUAGCUUCUGCGAAGCUACGAAUCGAAGCCCCAGUAAACGGCGGCCGUAACUAUAACGGUCCUAAGGUAGCGAAAUUCCUUGUCGGGUAAGUUCCGACCCGCACGAAAGGCGUAACGAUUUGGGCACUGUCUCAACGAGAGACUCGGUGAAAUCAUAGUACCUGUGAAGAUGCAGGUUACCCGCGACAGGACGGAAAGACCCCGUGGAGCUUUACUGUAGCCUGAUAUUGAAAUUCGGCACAGCUUGUACAGGAUAGGUAGGAGCCUUUGAAACGUGAGCGCUAGCUUACGUGGAGGCGCUGGUGGGAUACUACCCUAGCUGUGUUGGCUUUCUAACCCGCACCACUUAUCGUGGUGGGAGACAGUGUCAGGCGGGCAGUUUGACUGGGGCGGUCGCCUCCUAAAAGG